UAGUCCACGCCGUAAACGAUGGUCACUAGUUGUUGGGGCUUUAUGCCUCAGUGAUUAAGAGAAAUUGAUAAGUGACCCACCUGGGGAGUACGAUCGCAAGAUUGAAACUCAAAGGAAUUGACGGGGGCCCGCACAAGCGGUGGAGCAUGUGGUUUAAUUCGAUGAUACGCGAGGAACCUUACCAGGGCUUAAAUGUAAGUUGCAUAGAUCAGAGAUGGUCUUUUCUUCGGACUACUUACAAGGUGCUGCAUGGUUGUCGUCAGCUCGUGCCGUGAGGUGUCAGGUUAAGUCCUAUAACGAGCGCAACCCCUACCGUUAGUUGCCAGCAAGUAAAGUUGGGGACUCUAGCGGGACUGCCGGUGCAAACCGAGAGGAAGGUGGGGAUGACGUCAAAUCAUCACGGGCCCUUACGUCCUGGGGCUACACACGUGCUACAAUGGUAACGACAGAGGGCAGCCACCCGCGAGGGGGAGCGAAUCCUUAAACGUUAUCUCAGUUCGGGAUCGGGAGUCU
This 513-nucleotide ribosomal RNA is filed under the name uncultured bacterium. RNAcentral's name for it is "bacterial SSU rRNA". It matches the Rfam family "Bacterial small subunit ribosomal RNA", at positions 791 to 1306 of the family's 1533-position model. The record is from RNAcentral.